This 66-nucleotide transfer RNA is filed under the name Balta hwangorum. RNAcentral's name for it is "tRNA-Met". The record is from RNAcentral. Lineage: Eukaryota; Metazoa; Arthropoda; Insecta; Blattodea; Pseudophyllodromiidae.
AGAAAAGUAAGCUAAUCAAGCUAAUGGGUUCAUACCCCAUAAAUAGAGGUUAUCCUCUCUUCUCUA